UACGGGGGGAGCAAGCGUUGUUCGGAUUUACUGGGCGUAAAGGGCGCGUAGGCGGCCAGCACAAGUCAGUUGUGAAAUCUCCGAGCUUAACUCGGAAAGGUCAACUGAUACUGUGCGGCUAGAGUGCGGAAGGGGCAACUGGAAUUCUUGGUGUAGCGGUGAAAUGCGUAGAUAUCGAGAGGAACACCUGCGGCGAAGGCGGGUUGCUGGGCUGAUACUGACGCUGAUGCGCGAAAGCCAGGGGAGCGAACGGG
This 254-nucleotide ribosomal RNA is filed under the name uncultured bacterium. Its description in RNAcentral is "partial 16S ribosomal RNA". It matches the Rfam family "Bacterial small subunit ribosomal RNA", at positions 524 to 776 of the family's 1533-position model. The record is from RNAcentral.